This 253-nucleotide ribosomal RNA is filed under the name uncultured bacterium. RNAcentral describes it as "partial 16S ribosomal RNA". It matches the Rfam family "Bacterial small subunit ribosomal RNA", at positions 524 to 776 of the family's 1533-position model. The record is from RNAcentral.
UACGGAGGGGGCUAGCGUUGUUCGGAAUUACUGGGCGUAAAGCGCGCGUAGGCGGCGAUUCAAGUGACGGGUGAAAUCCCUCGGCUUAACCGAGGAACUGCCUGUCAGACUGGAUUGCUUGAGGCCGGGAGAGGCGAGUGGAAUUCCCAGUGUAGCGGUGAAAUGCGUAGAUAUUGGGAGGAACACCAGUGGCGAAGGCGGCUCGCUGGACCGGUUCUGACGCUGAGGCGCGAAAGCGUGGGGAGCAAACAGG